CUCCUUGGUGACCGAUAGUGGAUGAGUACCGUGAGGGAAGGGUGAAAAGUACCCCGGGAGGGGAGUGAAAGAGUUCCUGAAACCGGUCGCAUGCAAGCCGUCAGAGCCUGUGUGGUGAUGGCGUGCCUUUUGAAGAAUGAGCCUGCGAGUUAGUGAUGCGUGGCGAGGUUAACCCGUGGUGGGGGAGUCGUAGCGAAAGCGAGUCCGAUAAGGGCGUGAGUCGCGUGUUCUAGACCCGAAGCGGUGUGAUCUAUCCAUGGCCAGGAUGAAGCGUCGGUAAGACGUCGUGGAGGUCCGAACCCACUUCAGUUGAAAAUGGAGGGGAUGAGUUGUGGAUAGGGGUGAAAGGCCAAUCAAACACCGUGAUAGCUGGUUCUCCCCGAAAUGCAUUUAGGUGCAGCGUUGCGUGGUUCUUGUUGGAGGUAGA
RNAcentral lists this ribosomal RNA (427 nucleotides) under Vibrio parahaemolyticus. RNAcentral's name for it is "partial 23S ribosomal RNA". It matches the Rfam family "Bacterial large subunit ribosomal RNA", at positions 473 to 906 of the family's 2925-position model. The record is from RNAcentral. Lineage: Bacteria; Pseudomonadati; Pseudomonadota; Gammaproteobacteria; Vibrionales; Vibrionaceae.